Molecule: ribosomal RNA, 429 nt
Filed under: Chloroflexota bacterium
Lineage: Bacteria; Bacillati; Chloroflexota
Description: Chloroflexi bacterium partial 16S ribosomal RNA
Rfam family: Bacterial small subunit ribosomal RNA
Source: RNAcentral
UAGGGAAUCUUCGGCAAUGGACGAAAGUCUGACCGAGCAACGCCGCGUGAGUGAAGAAGGUUUUCGGAUCGUAAAACUCUGUUGUUAGAGAAGAACAAGGACGUUAGUAACUGAACGUCCCCUGACGGUAUCUAACCAGAAAGCCACGGCUAACUACGUGCCAGCAGCCGCGGUAAUACGUAGGUGGCAAGCGUUGUACGGAUUUAUUGGGCGUAAAGCGAGCGCAGGCGGUUUCUUAAGUCUGAUGUGAAAGCCCCCGGCUCAACCGGGGAGGGUCAUUGGAAACUGGGAGACUUGAGUGCAGAAGAGGAGAGUGGAAUUCCAUGUGUAGCGGUGAAAUGCGUAGAUAUAUGGAGGAACACCAGUGGCGAAGGCGGCUCUCUGGUCUGUAACUGACGCUGAGGCUCGAAAGCGGGGGGAGCAAACAGG